This 497-nucleotide ribosomal RNA is filed under the name uncultured bacterium. RNAcentral describes it as "partial 16S ribosomal RNA". It matches the Rfam family "Bacterial small subunit ribosomal RNA", at positions 28 to 507 of the family's 1533-position model. The record is from RNAcentral.
GAUGAACGCUGGCGGCGUGCCUAAUACAUGCAAGUCGAGCGGACGGACGCGGAGCUUGCUUUUCUGAUGUUAGCGGCGGACGGGUGAAUAACACGUGGAUACCCUACCUAUAAGACUGGGAUAACUUCGGGAAACCGGAGCUAAUACCGGAUAAUAUUUUGAACCGCAUGGUUCAAAAGUGAAAGACGGUCUUGCUGUCACUUAUAGAUGGAUCCGCGCUGCAUUAGCUAGUUGGUAAGGUAACGGCUUACCAAGGCAACGAUGCAUAGCCGACCGGAGAGGCUGGUCGGCCACCCUGGAACGGAGACACGGACCAUACUCCUACGGGAGGCAGCAGUAGGGAAUCUGCCGCAAUGGGCGAAAGCCUGACGGAGCAACGCCGCGUGAGUGAUGAAGGUCUUCGGAUCGUAAAACUCUGUUAUUAGGGAAGAACAUAUGUGUAAGGAACUGUGCACAUCUUGACGGUACCUAAUCAGAAAGCCACGGCUAACUACGUG